This 2788-nucleotide ribosomal RNA is filed under the name human metagenome. Its description in RNAcentral is "bacterial LSU rRNA". It matches the Rfam family "Bacterial large subunit ribosomal RNA". The record is from RNAcentral.
AGAGCAUACGGAGGAUGCCUAAGUACCAAGCGCCGAAGAAGGACGUGGCCAACUGCGAAAAGCUGCGGGGAGCUGUAAGCGAGCUUCGAUCCGCAGAUGUCCGAAUGCGGGAACGCACUGUAUAGUAAUAUGCAGAAUCAUUACAUGAAUUCAUAGUGUAAUGAGGGGAACCCGGUGAACUGAAACAUCUUAGUAACCGGAGGAAAAGAAAGUAAGAACGAUUUCCAAAGUAGCGGCGAGCGAAAGGGAAAGAGCCCAAACCGAUUGUCUACGGACGAACGGGGUUUAGGACAGCGAGAAGGGAAACCUGUGUUAGUCGAAGGCGGCAGGAAAGCCGCACCGAAGAGGGUGAAAGUCCCGUAGAUGAAAACGCAGGGAACCGAGCUGGAUCCAGAGUACCACAGGACACGAGGAAUCCGGUGGGAAGAAGGGGGGACCACCCUCCAAGGCUAAAUACGACUUGGUGACUGAUAGAGAAAAAGUACCGUGAGGGAAAGGUGAAAAGAACCCCGGGAGGGGAGUGAAAGAGAACCUGAAACCGUAUGUUUACAAGCAGUGGAAGCACGAUUGAGUGCGACCGCGUACUUUUUGUAGAACGGACCGGCGAGUUACGUUAACAAGCGAGGUUAAGAUAUGGAGUAUCGGAGCCGCAGCGAAAGCGAGUCUGAAGAGGGCGAAAGUUCGUUAACGUAGACCCGAAACCGUGUGAUCUAUCCAUGGACAGGUUGAAGUAGGAGUAAAAUCUUAUGGAGGACCGAACCACACUGCCGUUGAAAAGGUAGGGGAUGAGCUGUGGAUAGGGGGGAAAUUCCAAACGAACACGGAGAUAGCUGGUUCUCCUCGAAAUAGCUUUAGGGCUAGCCUCGGGGUAGAGAAUAAUGGAGGUAGAGCACUGAAUGAGCUAGGGGGCCACAAAGCUUACCGAACUCUAUCAAACUACGAAUGCCAUAUAUUUAUACCCGGGAGUCAGACGAUGUGAGAUAAGUCUCAUUGUCAAAAGGGAAACAGCCCAGACCUACAGCUAAGGUCCCGAAGUGCAGGUUAAGUGGAGAAGGAUGUGGAAUUGCGAAGACAACCAGGAUGUUGGCUUAGAAGCAGCCACUCAUUUAAAGAGUGCGUAAUAGCUCACUGGUCGAGUGAUUGUGCGCCGAAGAUAUAACGGGGCUAAAACCUGCCACCGAAGCUUAGGAAUGUUAGCAAUAACAUUGGUAGAGGAGCGCUGUAUAGCGGCAGAAGCCGAACCGGAAGGAUCGGUGGACGCUAUACAAGAGAGAAUGCCGGUAUAAGUAGCGAGAGCGGAGUGAGAAUCUCCGCCGUCGAAAGCCAAAGGAUUCCUGAGGAAGGUUCGUCCCCUCAGGGUAAGUCGGGACCUAAGCCGAGGGCGGUAGAGCCGUAGGCGAUGGACAACUGGUAGAUAUUCCAGUACCACCUGACGCGAUAACAUGAAGCAGUGACACAGGAGGAUAGUCAGAGCGCGCGGCUGGAAGAGCGCGUCCAAGCAGAGAGGGAGGAGCUAUGUAGUGAUAGCUUCAAUUCUGGUCUGUGAUGGGGAGUGAAAAUAGUAGCGAAGCUGAUGAAUUCACGCUGGCGAGAAAAGCUGCUAAGAGCGGAAAGGUGCCCGUACCGCAAACCGACACAGGUAGGCGAGGAGAGAAUCCUAAGACGAACGAGAGAACCCUUGUUAAGGAACUCGGCAAAAUUACCUCGUAACUUCGGGAGAAGGGGUGCCCAUUGAAAGAUGGGUCGCAGAGAAAAGGCUCAAGCGACUGUUUAACAAAAACACAGGUCUGUGCGAAUUCGAGAGAAGACGUAUACGGGCUGACGCCUGCCCGGUGCUGGAAGGUUAAGGGGAAUUGUAAGCGCAAGCGAAGCAAAGAACCGAAGCCCCAGUAAACGGCGGCCGUAACUAUAACGGUCCUAAGGUAGCGAAAUUCCUUGUCGGGUAAGUUCCGACCCGCACGAAUGGUGUAACGACUUGUGAGCUGUCUCAACAGGGGGCCCGGUGAAAUUGAAGUAUGGGUGAAGAUGCCCAUUACCCGCGACUGGACGGAAAGACCCCGUAGAGCUUUACUGUAGCCUGAUAUUGGAUUUUGGUAAUGGAUGUACAGGAUAGGUGGGAGGCAUAGAAGCAAGGACGCCAGUCUUUGUGGAGCCGCCGUUGGGAUACCACCCUUUGAUUACCGGGGUUCUAACAGACAGCCGUAAGCCGGCGUUUGGACAGUGUCAGGUGGGCAGUUUGACUGGGGCGGUCGCCUCCGAAAGAGUAACGGAGGCGCCCAAAAGUUCCCUCAGAAUGGUUGGGAAUCAUUCGGAGAGUGCAAAGGCAAAAGGGAGCUUGACUGCGAGAGAGACAUCUCGGGCAGAUACGAAAGUAGGGCUUAGUGAUCCGGCGGCAGAGAGUGGAAUUGCCGUCGCUCAACGGAUAAAAGUUACCUCGGGGAUAACAGGCUGAUCUCCCCCAAGAGUUCACAUCGACGGGGAGGUUUGGCACCUCGAUGUCGGCUCGUCGCAUCCUGGGGCUGAAGCAGGUCCCAAGGGUUUGGCUGUUCGCCAAUUAAAGCGGCACGCGAGCUGGGUUCAGAACGUCGUGAGACAGUUCGGUCCCUAUCCAUCGUGGGCGUAGGAUAUUUGAGAGGAGCUGUUCCUAGUACGAGAGGACCGGAAUGGACGUACCGCUGGUGCAUCAGUUGUCACGCCAGUGGCACAGCUGGGUAGCGAAGUACGGAUUUGAUAAACGCUGAAAGCAUCUAAGCGUGAAACAAACCUCAAGAAGAGAUAUCCCACUUGA